GAUCAUGGCUCGGGAUGAACGCUGGCGGCGUGCCUAACACAUGCAAGUCGAGCGAAGCGCUUUGCUUAGAUUCUUCGGAUGAAGAGGAUUGUGACUGAGCGGCGGACGGGUGAGUAACGCGUGGGUAACCUGCCUCAUACAGGGGGAUAACAGUUAGAAAUGACUGCUAAUACCGCAUAAGACCACAGCACCGCAUGGUGCGGGGGUAAAAACUCCGGUGGUAUGAGAUGGACCCGCG
Molecule: ribosomal RNA, 238 nt
Filed under: uncultured bacterium
Lineage: Bacteria
Description: partial 16S ribosomal RNA
Rfam family: Bacterial small subunit ribosomal RNA
Source: RNAcentral